GUGAAUCAUCGAAUCUUUGAACGCACCUUGCACCCUUUGGUAUUCCGAAGGGUACACCCGUUUGAGUGUCAUUGUAAUCUCACUACAACUACUUUAUUGUUGUUUGUAUGUGGAUCUGGAUGUUGCCGUGUAACAAACGGCUCGUCUGAAAUGCCUGAGUGUACCCUGCUUUGCGGCGUAUUCGGUGUGAUAAAUCUUCACCGGAGUUGACUUUCGGGUCGCGUUCUGCUUAACACGGCUCUAUGCUUCCAACCGUCCUAACAAGACAACCUUUGACAAUUUGACCUCAAAUCGGGUGGG
This 300-nucleotide unclassified non-coding RNA is filed under the name uncultured Sebacinales. Its description in RNAcentral is "sequence contains 5.8S rRNA gene, ITS2". The stretch from base 1 to 71 matches the Rfam family "5.8S ribosomal RNA", at positions 84 to 154 of the family's 154-position model. The record is from RNAcentral. Lineage: Eukaryota; Fungi; Basidiomycota; Agaricomycetes; Sebacinales.